GUGAAGACCGUCCCAGGAGACGGGGGACGCAGUGGGGGGCAUGCGUUGUCCGGAAGCCCUGGGGGUAAAGCGCGAGCAGGCGGCUAUCGACGGCCGGGGUGAAAGCCCAGAGCUCAACUCUGUGACUGCCUUGGAUACGGGAUAGCUUGAGGAUCGGAGAGGCAAGGGGAAUUCCACGUGUAGCGGUGAAAUGCGUAGAGAUGUGGAGGAACACCUGUGGCGAAGGCGCCUUGCUGGCCGAUUUCUGACGCUGAGGCGCGAAAGCGUGGGGAGCAAACAGGAUUAGAUACCCGGGUAGUC
This 300-nucleotide ribosomal RNA is filed under the name uncultured Methanocalculus sp. Its description in RNAcentral is "bacterial SSU rRNA". It matches the Rfam family "Bacterial small subunit ribosomal RNA", at positions 496 to 795 of the family's 1533-position model. The record is from RNAcentral. Lineage: Archaea; Methanobacteriati; Methanobacteriota; Methanomicrobia; Methanomicrobiales; Methanocalculaceae.